RNAcentral lists this ribosomal RNA (765 nucleotides) under Clostridioides difficile. RNAcentral describes it as "partial 23S ribosomal RNA". It matches the Rfam family "Bacterial large subunit ribosomal RNA", at positions 671 to 1444 of the family's 2925-position model. Lineage: Bacteria; Bacillati; Bacillota; Clostridia; Peptostreptococcales; Peptostreptococcaceae. The record is from RNAcentral.
GCGAAAGCGAGUUUUAACUGAGCGUUCAGUUACUUGACGUAGACCCGAAACCGGGCGACCUACCCAUGAGCAGGAUGAAGCGAAAGUAAAAUUUCGUGGAGGUCCGAACCCACGAGCGUUGAAAAGCUCGGGGAUGACUUGUGGGUAGCGGUGAAAUUCCAAUCGAGCCCGGAGAUAGCUGGUUCUCCCCGAAAUAGCUUUAGGGCUAGCCUCAAGGUGAGAGAUACGGAGGUAGAGCACUGAAUGUCCUAGGGGGUAUUGCACCUACCGAAGACUAUCAAACUCCGAAUGCCGUCAUCUUAUACUUGGGAGUCAGACUGUGGGUGAUAAGAUUCAUAGUCGAAAGGGCAACAGCCCAGAUCGUCAGCUAAGGUCCCUAAAUGUAAGUUAAGUGGUAAAGGAUGUGGGAUUGCACAGACAACCAGGAUGUUGGCUUAGAAGCAGCCACUCAUUCAAAGAGUGCGUAAUAGCUCACUGGUCGAGUGAUCCUGCGCCGAAGAUUUCCGGGGCUAAAACUUACUACCGAAGCUACGGCAUCAGUAAUGAUGGGUAGGGGAGCUUCCCAUACGGGUUGAAGCAUGACCGUAAGGACAUGUGGACAGUAUGGGAGUGAGAAUGUUGGCAUGAGUAGCGAGAUGUGGGUGAGAAUCCCACAGGCCGUAAACCCAAGGUUUCCAGGGGAAGGUUCGUCCGCCCUGGGUUAGUCGGGACCUAAGCUGAGGCCGAAAGGCGUAGGUGAUGGACAACAGGUUGAUAUUCCUGUAC